UCCAAGCCUGCUGGGGAAUACAGCCCAAUU
This 30-nucleotide non-coding RNA is filed under the name Mus musculus (house mouse). The record is from RNAcentral. Lineage: Eukaryota; Metazoa; Chordata; Mammalia; Rodentia; Muridae.